RNAcentral lists this ribosomal RNA (506 nucleotides) under uncultured soil bacterium. RNAcentral describes it as "bacterial SSU rRNA". It matches the Rfam family "Bacterial small subunit ribosomal RNA", at positions 26 to 527 of the family's 1533-position model. The record is from RNAcentral.
AGAUUGAACGCUGGCGGCAUGCCUUACACAUGCAAGUCGAACGGCAGCACGGGGGCAACCCUGGUGGCGAGUGGCGAACGGGUGAGUAAUACAUCGGAACGUAUCCUGUAGCGGGGGAUAACCUCUCGAAAGAGAGGCUAAUACCGCAUACGACCUAUGGGUGAAAGAGGGGGAUCGCAAGACCUCUCACUAUUGGAGCGGCCGAUGUCGGAUUAGCUAGUUGGUGGGGUAAAAGCCUACCAAGGCUACGAUCCGUAGCUGGUCUGAGAGGACGACCAGCCACACUGGAACUGAGACACGGUCCAGACUCCUACGGGAGGCAGCAGUGGGGAAUUUGGACAAUGGGCGCAAGCCUGAUCCAGCCAUGCCGCGUGAGUGAAGAAGGCCUUCGGGUUGUAAAGCUCUUUCGGUCGGGAAGAAAGGUUCGUGCUAACACCGCGGACUCAUGACGGUACCGGCAUAAGAAGCGACCGGCUAACGUACGUGCCAGCAGCCGCGGUAAUCUA